This 497-nucleotide ribosomal RNA is filed under the name uncultured bacterium. RNAcentral describes it as "partial 16S ribosomal RNA". It matches the Rfam family "Bacterial small subunit ribosomal RNA", at positions 28 to 507 of the family's 1533-position model. The record is from RNAcentral.
GAUGAACGCUGGCGGCGUGCCUAAUACAUGCAAGUCGAGCGAACGGACGAGAAGCUUGCUUUUCUGAUGUUAGCGGCGGACGGGUGAGUAACACGUGGAUAACCUACCUAUAAGACUGGGAUAACUUCGGGAAACCGGAGCUAAUACCGGAUAAUAUUUUGAACCGCAUGGUUCAAAAGUGAAAGACGGUCUUGCUUUCACUUAUAGAUGGAUCCGCGCUGCAUUAGCUAGUUGGUAAGGUAACGGCUUACCAAGGCAACGAUGCCUAGCCGACCUGAGAGGGUGAUCGGCCACACUGGAACUGAGACACGGUCCAGACUCCUACGGGAGGCAGCAGUAGGGAAUCUUCCGCAAUGGGCGAAAGCCUGACGGAGCAACGCCGCGUGAGUGAUGAAGGUCUUCGGAUCGUAAAACUCUGUUAUUAGGGAAGAACAUAUGUGUAAGUAACUGUGCACAUCUUGACGGUACCUAAUCAGAAAGCCACGGCUAACUACGUG